GACGAACGCUGGCGGCGUGCUUAACACAUGCAAGUCGAACGGAAAGGCCCUGCUUUUGUGGGGUGCUCGAGUGGCGAACGGGUGAGUAACACGUGAGUAACCUGCCCUUGACUUUGGGAUAACUUCAGGAAACUGGGGCUAAUACCGGAUAGGAGCUCCUGCUGCAUGGUGUGGGUUGGAAAGUUUCGGCGGUUGGGGAUGGACUCGCGGCUUAUCAGCUUGUUGGUGGGGUAGUGGCUUACCAAGGCUUUGACGGGUAGCCGGCCUGAGAGGGUGACCGGCCACAUUGGGACUGAGAUACGGCACAGACUCCUACGGGAGGCAGCAGUGGGGAAUAUUGAACAAUGGGCGGAAGCCUGAUGCAGCAACGCCGCGUGCGGGAUGACGGCCUUCGGGUUGUAAACCGCUUUCGCCUGUGACGAAGCGUGAGUGACGGUAAUGGGUAAAGAAGCACCGGCUAACUACGUG
This 468-nucleotide ribosomal RNA is filed under the name uncultured bacterium. RNAcentral's name for it is "partial 16S ribosomal RNA". It matches the Rfam family "Bacterial small subunit ribosomal RNA", at positions 28 to 507 of the family's 1533-position model. The record is from RNAcentral.